Molecule: ribosomal RNA, 253 nt
Filed under: uncultured bacterium
Lineage: Bacteria
Description: partial 16S ribosomal RNA
Rfam family: Bacterial small subunit ribosomal RNA
Source: RNAcentral
GACGGAAGGUGCAAGCGUUGCUCGGAAUCACUGGGCGUAAAGGGUGCGUAGGCGGCUUGGUAGGUCUGGUGUGAAAGCCCCGGGCUCAGCCCGGGAAGGGCACUAGAAACUGCCAAGCUAGAGUGCCGGAGGGGAGAGUGGAAUUCCUGGUGUAGCAGUGAAAUGCGUAGAUAUCAGGAGGAAUACCGAUGGCGAAGGCAGGUCUCUGGGCUGACACUGACGCUCAUGCACGAAAGCGUGGGGAGCAAACAGG